RNAcentral lists this ribosomal RNA (253 nucleotides) under uncultured bacterium. RNAcentral's name for it is "partial 16S ribosomal RNA". It matches the Rfam family "Bacterial small subunit ribosomal RNA", at positions 524 to 776 of the family's 1533-position model. The record is from RNAcentral.
UACGGAGGGUGCAACCGUUGCUCGGAAUUAUUGGGCGUAAAGCGCACGUAGGUGGUCUGCUAUGUCGGGUGUGAAAUCCCUCGGCUUAACCGAGGAAGUGCAUUCGAAACUGGCAGGCUAGAGUACUGAAGAGGGUCGCGGAAUUCCCGGUGUAGAGGUGAAAUUCGUAGAUAUCGGGAGGAACACCAGUGGCGAAGGCGGCUAACUGGUCCAGCACUGACGCUGAGGUGCGAAAGCGUGGGGAGCAAACAGG